ACCAACCAUUUUUUUCAUCUGAUUUUGAUUAAUGAAUCUGGUAAACAUACAAGAUUGAAAUCCUAGAGCCGGUGGACACACCUUACAAUAUCCGGAAACAUAGCCCACAAGAGAGAAACCCAAACCUAAACAACGGGUGACACAUACAAACAACUACACAAUCACUAAAAGUGUCUACACUUCUCCAACCAAAUCCGUAUAAAAACCCUGACAAGAGAUAUCAAUAUUCAUCUAGUCGGAACUCUCGCCGAAACUACACAAGAGAAACCACACAAGACACAGGAAGCGAUGCACUGGCCGUAACAACAAAAAAAGACUAGACUUACCUAAAUCUCCAGUUCACGGUAACAAGCCAAAACCCAUAAAAAUAACAUCAGACAUUGAACAGAGAAGAACAACACCCAGGACCACACCCCUUUCUCAAAUGAACCUUCAUCGGAAUGCCGUAAACUUUCAACCUCUAUAUUUCAACAAGCAGAGGCGACCGAGGAACAUGAGAGAGAAUGCCGAAAACUUUCAACCUCUAUAUUUCAACAAGCAGAGGCGACCGAGGAACAUGAGAGCAGAAGACAAACCAGAAACCACACUUAUUCAAAGGCAGCGAGAAAGACUCCUUCCAAGAGCGUGACAAGCAACCUGAAACUUCUCAAAGAUGUUAGACAUGUUCUGCUCACCACACAACAUCACGACACACCAUCACAGAUCCCUUACACCGUUGCUAGACAAAGAUAAUAGAGGACAAACACUAAAACCCAACCAAAGACGCCUCAGAUUCAGCUUCUCUGAAGCCAUCAACACAUUUGACUAAAGCGAGUGAAGGAUAAAGAGCGAAGAGAUCCCAAAACACGGAGUGAUUUGAUGGAUUAGGUCACGGGAAUACGAGAUCUGAACAUAAACUAAGUAAAAAAAAUCAGAGAAGAAGACGAGUUCAGGUGAACUACUCCGUAGAUCCACCAGACCCGACAUCUUCUUCAUCUCAAUAAAACAGAUCUGGUAGAUAUGACCGGGGAACUCACUGGAAAACCUCUUCCACCGCAACUACUCAACUACCCAAACGAAACCUCAGCCAAACACCAAGAAAAAAACGAUAAAAUCAAGCUAACAGAAGGACAAUGACCGACGUCGUGGUUGUGUGAGCCACGCACACCGGCCUUAACCAAAUCAGAAGAGAAAAACUGAGUUUUAGAGAGAUGAUAGAGCUUUUUCUCUCUAACGACCUUCUAGUUUGGUUGAUUGCCACAACCAACCAUUCAGCUUUCUGUUUUUCCAUAUAUUUAAUUAUAGUAUAAUAUACACAGAUAUAUACACAG
Molecule: long non-coding RNA, 1310 nt
Filed under: Brassica napus (rape)
Lineage: Eukaryota; Viridiplantae; Streptophyta; Magnoliopsida; Brassicales; Brassicaceae
Description: long non-coding RNA (BNAP_LNC002370)
Source: RNAcentral